RNAcentral lists this ribosomal RNA (497 nucleotides) under uncultured bacterium. Its description in RNAcentral is "partial 16S ribosomal RNA". It matches the Rfam family "Bacterial small subunit ribosomal RNA", at positions 28 to 507 of the family's 1533-position model. The record is from RNAcentral.
GAUGAACGCUGGCGGCGUGCCUAAUACAUGCAAGUCGAGCGAACAGACGAGGAGCUUGCUCCUCUGACGUUAGCGGCGGACGGGUGAGUAACACGUGGAUAACCUACCUAUAAGACUGGGAUAACUUCGGGAAACCGGAGCUAAUACCGGAUAAUAUAUUGAACCGCAUGGUUCAAUAGUGAAAGACGGUUUUGCUGUCACUUAUAGAUGGAUCCGCGCCGCAUUAGCUAGUUGGUAAGGUAACGGCUUACCAAGGCGACGAUGCGUAGCCGACCUGAGAGGGUGAUCGGCCACACUGGAACUGAGACAGGGUCCAGACUCCUACGGGAGGCAGCAGUAGGGAAUCUUCGGCAAUGGGCGAAAGCCUGACGGAGCAACGCCGCGUGAGUGAUGAAGGUCUUCGGAUCGUAAAACUCUGUUAUUAGGGAAGAACAAAUGUGUAAGUAACUAUGCACGUCUUGACGGUAACUAAUCAGAAAGCCACGGCUAACUACGUG